Molecule: ribosomal RNA, 473 nt
Filed under: uncultured bacterium
Lineage: Bacteria
Description: bacterial SSU rRNA
Rfam family: Bacterial small subunit ribosomal RNA
Source: RNAcentral
AGAGUUUGAUCAUGGCUCAGAACGUACGCUGGCGGCACGCCUAAUACAUGCAAGUCGAACGGAGUAGCAAUACUUAGUGGCAGACGGGUGAGUAACAUGUAGGUAUCUUCCCAUUGGUGAGGAAUAACACGAGGAAACUUGUGCUAAUACCUCAUAAGUCUUUACGGAGAAAGCUUUAUGCGCCGAUGGAUGAGCCUGCACUUGAUUAGUUUGUUGGUAGGGUAAUGGCCUACCAAGACAAUGAUCAAUAGCUGAUUUGAGAGGAUGAUCAGCCACAUUGGGACUGAGACACGGCCCAAACUCCUACGGGAGGCAGCAGUAGGGAAUCUUGCACAAUGGGGGAAACCCUGAUGCAGCGAUGCCGCGUGAGUGAAGAAGGCCUUUGGGUUGUAAAGCUCUUUCGUCGGGGAAGAAAAUGACUGUACCCGAAUAAGAAGGUCCGGCUAACUUCGUGCCAGCAGCCGCGGUAAUAC